UACGUAGGGCGCGAGCGUUGUCCGGAAUUAUUGGGCGUAAAGGGCUUGUAGGCGGCUGGUCGCGUCUGCCGUGAAAUCCUCUGGCUUAACUGGGGGUGUGCGGUGGGUACGGGUCGGCUUGAGUGCGGUAGGGGAGGCUGGAACUCCUGGUGUAGCGGUGGAAUGCGCAGAUAUCAGGAAGAACACCGGUGGCGAAGGCGGGUCUCUGGGCCGUUACUGACGCUGAGGAGCGAAAGCGUGGGGAGCGAACAGG
RNAcentral lists this ribosomal RNA (253 nucleotides) under uncultured bacterium. Its description in RNAcentral is "partial 16S ribosomal RNA". It matches the Rfam family "Bacterial small subunit ribosomal RNA", at positions 524 to 776 of the family's 1533-position model. The record is from RNAcentral.